Molecule: ribosomal RNA, 369 nt
Filed under: uncultured Glomeromycotina
Lineage: Eukaryota; Fungi; Glomeromycota
Description: LSU rRNA
Source: RNAcentral
UUGAAAGGGAAACGAUUGAAGUUGUCGAACGUUCGAAAGCAGCCUUUCGAGUGUGAUUCUGUGGGGAUUGAGGACUUAACACCUUCAUGCUUUGAAUAUUCGUGCUCUUGAAGGUAUUUGCCCGUGUCGUUGAUUCACAUCAAUGUUGGUGGUCAUAAAAUGACUGUCGGAAGGAGGCUACGAUCUUGUCUUGAAGUUGUUAUAGCCUUCGGUAGAUGUGAUGAUCGAGAUUGAGGAUUGCAACGGAUACCCUUCGGGGUACCUGUAGNGACUCUGAUCGCNGCUCUCGAGCCGAAAGCUUGCUUACGGUUAUAAUAAUCGAUGGUCAAUAGGUUAGAACGGGUUAAAUUCGUUAAGGAUGUUGACGUA